CAGUAGCCGCGGGAAAACGUAGGUGGCAAGCGUUGUCCGGAAUUAUUGGGCGUAAAGGGCUCGCAGGCGGUUUCUUAGGUCUGAUGUGAAGGCCCCCGGCUCAACCGGGGAGGGUCAUUGGAAACUGGGAAACUUGAGUGCAGAAGAGGAGAGUGGAAUUCCACGUGUAGCGGUGAAAUGCGUAGAGAUGUGGAGGAACACCAGUGGCGAAGGCGACUCUCUGGUCUGUAACUGACGCUGAGGAGCGAAAGCGUGGGGAGCAAACAGGAUUAGAUACCCCCGUAGUCCCUGUCUCUUAUAC
RNAcentral lists this ribosomal RNA (301 nucleotides) under uncultured bacterium. RNAcentral describes it as "partial 16S ribosomal RNA". It matches the Rfam family "Bacterial small subunit ribosomal RNA", at positions 509 to 807 of the family's 1533-position model. The record is from RNAcentral.